UCUUAUCACCUAUGUCCAUAUAUUCGAUCUCUUUUCGCUUUUACCUUUUUGUCAAUAUCGCAUUGAAUUUUAAUUCCGUGUUUAGAAUUACAGCACAUCGUGACAACUCAACGUAUAACUGCCCGUGAGUGAAUAUAUCGUUUCUUUCUCUCUACAAGAAAUGUGUCUGACAAUAGCAUUCACACAAAUGAGACAUGACUGAACCGUAUGCGUGGUUAUGUGGGCAAGACUUUUCCAAAUCUCUUUGCAUAAACUCUUGUCUCGCUGGGCUUGAAAUUUUCUCUCACAGGAGUUCACUUUCACCAAACAACAAAUCUGUUGAUUCUCGCAGAUACGCCUCUUCAUUGGCGAAGAAACACUACUUUUUUUUUCCCUGAUGGCAACAUAAAUUAGAUGAUCUACAAGUCUCCAACUUAAAUUUUAAAUCCGAACAAUAUAUUCGAUCUCUUUUCGCUAUUCCAUUAUUUCACUGAGUAAUAAUUUCCGUUUGUUUGCACUAAUGCGAUCUUUACUAUUCUUUUUUUGAGACUUUUGAAUUUUCUACUUUCAUUAUCUCUAACCUGUUCUGCAUGUGUACCGCACCAACGUUUUUGAAUUCUUUACGACGUUCUACUUUGUCAUCUACUCUUUGUCUUUUAUUUCCAUUCCCGGGUGUGGUUAAAUCUCUUGGCACAAAGACUCGUCUCGCGGGAUGAGAAUGUCUCUCUCUGAGAAAAUCACAUAAGAAGCUGAUGCUUUGAAACUCUCUCCACUCUCACAAUUAAUAGCUGUUUUCCCUUCUGUGCUGUGGCUGGUCUUGUCAAAUUAAAUUCGGACCACAGUGUGCUGAUUUAUAUUUUAAGCUUAGUUCUGACUCUUUACGUUCAUUGCUUGCAGGUUUGCCAAGUCUCACAUGGUAAACCAAGGGCAAACCCAAAUCAAACCUAGCAGAUAUCCCGAGGAGAAUGGAGGGGGGCACAUAAAAGGGGAGGCCAAUGUGUGCAGCACUGAGCCCAGUAACCAGUCAAAGUACGUUGUUUAGAUUUAGGAGUGCUGCUUUGGGAAUGUCAGAAGUAUCCUUUGGUAGAAAAGAAUAAUUAUAUUGCGAAUUCUUAAGUAAAAUUAAA
Long non-coding RNA from Erpetoichthys calabaricus (reedfish), 1106 nucleotides. RefSeq lists it as uncharacterized. The record is from RefSeq and is a predicted model, not a curated record. The transcript is spliced from 2 exons. NCBI's taxonomy places the organism in Eukaryota, Metazoa, Chordata, Cladistia, Polypteriformes, Polypteridae.